This 519-nucleotide ribosomal RNA is filed under the name Triticum aestivum (bread wheat). Its description in RNAcentral is "partial small subunit ribosomal RNA". Lineage: Eukaryota; Viridiplantae; Streptophyta; Magnoliopsida; Poales; Poaceae. The record is from RNAcentral.
AUGUCGUCAGCCUCUACGCCCACGGCCGUGGCGGUGGCGCGGCCGGCGGGGAGGUACGCCGUGUACGUCGCGGCCGUGCCGCUGAGGGCCCCUCAGGGUCCGGCCCAGGCCAUGAUGUCUUCGGCCUACUCGUUGUGUCUGUGGGACCUUCAGCACUUCAUGGUGCUCCUCCGGCCCGACCCUGCCCGAACCCCAACCCGAGCCCAGGAGUCGUUGGUGUUCGAUUUCCAGCCUCGCCACCCGGAGGAUGCUCUCGCCGCCUUCUCCGUGCUCUCGCGGAGCAAAAUACCGGGGGUGGUUCGGAGGAGAAGGCUGCGGAGGAUCCCUGACAGGAGGAGCUGGUUCGUCGGCCUCAGCGACGGCGACGCCGCCGACGCCGCCGAGAGGUUCAGCGAGCGGUGGCCUACCGACCUGGUCGUCGGGAACCACGACUGCCGUGACUACACCAACGGGCUGGUGGAGGUCUUGACAGGACAAAAACGUGUCCUCGACGCGCUGAGAUCAGCAGGUCGCCAAUGA